Molecule: ribosomal RNA, 622 nt
Filed under: uncultured bacterium
Lineage: Bacteria
Description: bacterial SSU rRNA
Rfam family: Bacterial small subunit ribosomal RNA
Source: RNAcentral
GAGUUUGAUCAUGGCUCAGAACGAACGCUGGCGGCGUGGAUAAGACAUGCAAGUCGAACGGGACAACAUUUGUAGCAAUACAGAUGUUGUUUAGUGGCGAACGGGUGCGUAACGCGUGGGCAAUCUGCCGAGAAGUGGGGGAUAGCUCGCCGAAAGGCGAAUUAAUACCGCAUAUGGUCAGGGAAGACAUCUUCCUGAAUCCAAAGCCGGGGCAACCUGGCGCUUUUUGAGGAGCCCGCGGCCUAUCAGCUAGUUGGUGAGGUAACGGCUCACCAAGGCUUUGACGGGUAGCUGGUCUGAGAGGACGACCAGUCACACUGGAACUGAGACACGGUCCAGACACCUACGGGUGGCAGCAGUCGAGAAUUUUUCUCAAUGGGGGCAACCCUGAAGGAGCGACGCCGCGUGGAGGAUGAAGGCUUUCGGGUUGUAAACUCCUGUCAUUUGAGAACAAGUGGGACGCAGUAACUACGCGUCCCUUGGUAGUAUCAGAAGAGGAAGGGACGGCUAACUCUGUGCCAGCAGCCGCGGUAAUACAGAGGUCCCAAGCGUUGUUCGGAUUCAUUGGGCGUAAAGGGUGCGUAGGUGGCGCCGUAAGUCGGGUGUGAAAUUUCGGAGCUUA